RNAcentral lists this ribosomal RNA (253 nucleotides) under uncultured bacterium. RNAcentral's name for it is "partial 16S ribosomal RNA". It matches the Rfam family "Bacterial small subunit ribosomal RNA", at positions 524 to 776 of the family's 1533-position model. The record is from RNAcentral.
UACAGAGGUGGCAAGCGUUGUUCGGAAUUACUGGGCGUAAAGGGCGCGUAGGCGGUCAUGUAAGUCCUGUGUGAAAUCCCCCGGCUCAACUGGGGAAUUGCACGGGAAACUGCGGGGCUUGAGUUCGGGAGAGGGAAGCGGAAUUCCGGGUGUAGCGGUGAAAUGCGUAGAUAUCCGGAGGAACACCGGUGGCGAAGGCGGCUUCCUGGACCGACACUGACGCUGAGGCGCGAAAGCUAGGGGAGCAAACGGG